RNAcentral lists this long non-coding RNA (456 nucleotides) under Homo sapiens (human). Its description in RNAcentral is "non-protein coding lnc-ASAP3-1:1". The record is from RNAcentral. Lineage: Eukaryota; Metazoa; Chordata; Mammalia; Primates; Hominidae.
AAGGGUCACUGGAACCAUGAAGUGGCAGGGAGCCCUAGAGUGGACACUGGGCAGUCAUGAGUUGGUGUCCAUAUAAAGGCCAGAGCCUCAGUUUCUUCAUCUGUAAGAAAGAGAUGAGAUUAUCUGCCUCUGGAGAAGGGAUGUCACUGGAACAGAACCCAUUUGUAUGUUCAGAGAGAUACACCCAGCAACAUUUGCACAAGGCUUUGUUUAUCCAGCUACAAUCCAGGCUCAUGGCUAUUCUCCUCCAAUAUGACCCAGUUAUACAGCUGUGACACACGAGGCAUACACCCAGUGGAGAGCUGGAACUGGCUUAACACAGAUUGUUGCGUUUUCAGGAAUUUUGCAACCUGGUGGUUAAACACAGCAAUUGUUUCAAAAAACUACAUUAUCUGCUUACAAUAAAUAAAUUAUAUUAAAAACAAAGGUAAGGAAUCCUCCAAAAUAAUCACUUCC